Molecule: ribosomal RNA, 498 nt
Filed under: uncultured bacterium
Lineage: Bacteria
Description: partial 16S ribosomal RNA
Rfam family: Bacterial small subunit ribosomal RNA
Source: RNAcentral
AUUGAACGCUGGCGGCAGGCCUAACACGUGCAAGUCGAGCGGUUGAGGUAGCUUGCUACCGAUGCAGCGGCGGACGGGUGAGUAAUACAUGGGAAUCUGCCUGGUAGUGGGGGACUACGUUUCGAAAGGAACGCUAAUACCGCAUACGCCCUACGGGGGAAAGGGGGGGAUCUUCGGACCUCUCGCUAUCAGAUGAGCCCAUGUCGGAUUAGCUUGUUGGUGAGGUAAAGGCUCACCAAGGCGACGAUCCGUAACUGGUCUGAGAGGAUGAUUAGUCCCACUGGAACUGCGACACGGUCCAGACUCCUACGGGAGGCAGCAGUGGGUAAUAUUGGACAAUGGGCGCAAGCCUGAUCCAGCCAUGCCGCGUGUGUGAAGAAGGCCUUAGGGUUGUAAAGCACUUUCAGUGGGGAGAAAGGUCAUUCACCUAAUACGUGAGUGAAUUGAUGUUACCCACAGAAGAAGCACCGGCUAACUCCGUGCCAGCCGCCGCCAUAA